Molecule: ribosomal RNA, 446 nt
Filed under: uncultured Azospirillum sp.
Lineage: Bacteria; Pseudomonadati; Pseudomonadota; Alphaproteobacteria; Rhodospirillales; Azospirillaceae
Description: bacterial SSU rRNA
Rfam family: Bacterial small subunit ribosomal RNA
Source: RNAcentral
AGCAUGUGGUUUAAUUCGAAGCAACGCGCAGAACCUUACCAGCCCUUGACAUCCGGUAUCGGUCCUCGAGAGAUUGAGGACUUCCCUUCGGGGAGGCCGAGACAGGUGCUGCAUGGCUGUCGUCAGCUCGUGUCGUGAGAUGUUGGGUUAAGUCCCGCAACGAGCGCAACCCCAUCGUCAGUUGCCAGCAUUCAGUUGGGCACUCUGGCGAAACCGCCGGCGCCAAGCCGGAGGAAGGCGGGGAUGACGUCAAGUCCUCAUGGCCCUUAUGGGCUGGGCUACACACGUGCUACAAUGGCGGUGACAGUGGGACGCGAAACCGCGAGGUGGAGCAAAUCCCCAAAAGCCGUCUCAGUUCGGAUUGCACUCUGCAACUCGAGUGCAUGAAGUUGGAAUCGCUAGUAAUCGCGGAUCAGCACGCCGCGGUGAAUACGUUCCCGGGCCUU